GCUUGUGCGCGUGCUUCUUGCCUUCGCUGGUCUUCUUAUAUUUUCUCCCCCGGGCCAGUUUGCGCAGGAAAAGAAACCAACAGGGAUUGCCUUAGUAACUGCGAGUGAAGCGGCAAAAGCUCAAAUUUGAAAUCUGGCAUCUUCGGCGUCCGAGUUGUAAUUUGGAGAGAUUUCUUCGGGGUGAACACCGGUCCAAGUUCCUUGGAACAGGACGUCACAGAGGGUGAGAAUCCCGUGUCUGACCGGUUGCUUCAUUCCAUGUGAAGAGUCUUCGACGAGUCGAGUUGUUUGGGAAUGCAGCUCAAAAUGGGUGGUAAAUUUCAUCUAAAGCUAAAUAUUGGCGAGAGACCGAUAGCGCACAAGUAGAGUGAUCGAAAGAUGAAAAGCACUUUGAAAAGAGAAUUAAAAAGUACGUGAAAUUGUUGAAAGGGAAGCGCUUGAGACCAGACUCAAUUUGUGGUGAACAUCAGUCCUUCUGGGCUGUGCACUUGCCACUUUUUGGGCCAGCAUCGGUUCUGACCGUGUGAUAAAGGUCCUGGGAAUGUAGCUCCUCUCGGGGAGUGUUAUAGCCCAGGGCGUAAUGACAUGAGUUGGGACCGAGGACCGCGCUUCGGCUAGGAUGCUGGCAUAAUGGUCUUCAGCGACCCGUCUUGAAACACGGACCAAGGAGUCUAACAUCUAUGCGAGUGUUCGGGUGGAAAACCCUUGCGCGUAAUGAAAGUGAACGGAGGUGGGAACCCCUCGGGGUGCACCAUCGACCGAUCCUGAUGUUCUCGGAUGGAUUUGA
This 787-nucleotide ribosomal RNA is filed under the name uncultured Ascodesmis. Its description in RNAcentral is "eukaryotic LSU rRNA". It matches the Rfam family "Eukaryotic large subunit ribosomal RNA", at positions 1 to 793 of the family's 3401-position model. The record is from RNAcentral. Lineage: Eukaryota; Fungi; Ascomycota; Pezizomycetes; Pezizales; Ascodesmidaceae.